Molecule: ribosomal RNA, 433 nt
Filed under: uncultured bacterium
Lineage: Bacteria
Description: bacterial SSU rRNA
Rfam family: Bacterial small subunit ribosomal RNA
Source: RNAcentral
AACGAACGCUGGCGGCAGGCCUAACACAUGCAAGUCGAACGCCGUAGCAAUACGGAGUGGCAGACGGGUGAGUAACGCGUGGGAAUAUCCCCCUCAGUACGGAAUAGCUCAGGGAAACUUGGGGUAAGUACCGUAUACGUCCGUGAGGAGAAAGAUUUAUCGCUGAGGGAUUAGCCCGCGUAGGAUUAGCUAGUUGGUGAGGUAAUGGCUCACCAAGGCGACGAUCCUUAGCUGGUCUGAGAGGACGACCAGCCACACUGGGACUGAGACACGGCCCAGACUCCUACGGGAGGCAGCAGUGGGGAAUAUUGGACAAUGGGCGAAAGCCUGAUCUAGCCAUGCCGCGUGAGUGAUGAAGGCCUUAGGGUUGUAAUGCUCUUUUGGCGGGGACGAUAAUGACGGUACCCGCAGAAUAAGCCCGGCUAACUUCGUG